GAGGGAAAGAAGAAGAAGAGAAAAGAGAAAAAGAUAAGGAAGAAGAAGGGAGUUAAAGGAAAUAAGUUUAAAAGGUAAGAUUUAAGUUUUUAAAUGUAUAAAUGUGUGUUCUUUGAGCUUUAAAUUUCUGUUUCAAUGAAUGUUAGGGUUUUGAAGAUUGUAUUUUGGGUGGGUUGAUGAAUUAAUUUGAAUGUUAUGGGUUGAUUGUUGUAGGUAAUGAGUUAAUUAGUUGAUUUUGAGAGAUUGUAGGUAAAGAUGAUGAUUUUGAGUUAUGAUUUUGUUUGAAUGGUGAAUUUGUGUUAGAAAUCAUGAGAUAAAAGUAGGUAAUCUGUGGAAAUUCUGGGUUUGAGGUUGAAGAUGAUGAAAUUUCAGUUUGGUCCCUCAAUUUAUGAAAAUUACGGUUUAGUCCCCAAACUUUGGAAAAAUUACAGAUUGGUCCCUAGAGCAUAUUCCGAGAUUCUGGACAGAAUAAAAGAUGAAUUAUGGGCAGAAUUCAAGUAUAGUUAUGAAUUUUUAACACUUUCAAUUUGGUCCUCCCAUUUGACAAAAAUUACAAUUUGACCCUAAAAAUUUGGAAAAAUUCCAGAAUGGUCCCUGGAGCAUAAUUAGAGAUUCUGGAAAGAAAUGAGGAUGAAUUAUGGACAUAAUUCCACUAUAGUCAUGAAUUUAUGAUAUUUUUAGUUUGGUCCUCUAAUUUGACAAAGUUACAAUUUGAUCCUUAAAAAUAUGAUAAAUUCUAGAUUGGUCCCUAGCUGUAAUAUUAGCUUUUGCAGAUUGGUUUGAUGAAUGAUUGAGGGUUAUUUAGUGAAUUAUUAUCAAGUCUUAUUAUUUGUUUUAUUAUGGAUUAGAUUUCAGGAAAACCAUUUAAUUUUGGGUUUUUGGAAAAAAUAACUAGUUUAAUUCAAAAACAUAUAGGGUUAUAGAAUAGACCCUUAGUUAAAUGUAUUAAAUAGGUUGUAUAUUCUUUCGAGUCGUUUUUGAAUAUGUCUCUUUUGUAUUUAGAUAAUCCUGAUAUUCUAUCAGCGGGAUAUCAGUAGGAUUUCUUUCGGUAUCUGCUUUCGAGUUCUGUUUGCUUUUGAGUCAGGUGAGUGAAUAAUUUUCCAUAUGCAUGAGAAAUAUUAUAAAUAAUUGAGUUGUUAAUAUGAAUUGGAUCAUGCUUCUUGAUAAAUAUUUUCUAUCAAUUCAUAAGUUAAUUCAAAAUAUAUAUUGGUUCAUAUCAAGAAUUCAGAUUCAACAAUUGAUCAUGACCAAUCUUGAACCAAUUAUCAAGAAGCAUGAUCAAAUUCAUAUUAACAAAUCAAAUAUUUAUACUAUUUCUCAUGCAUAUAGAAAAUUAUCCAUUCACCUGACUCGAAAGCAAACAAAAAUCAAAAGCAUACACCGAAGAAAAUCCUACUGACGUCCCGCCGGUAGAAUAUCAUGAUUAUCUGAAUACAAAGGAGACAUAUUCAAGAAUGACUCAAAAGAAUAUAUAACCUAUUUAAUACACUUAUCUAAGGGUGUAUUCCAUAACCCUAUAUGUUUUUAGACUAAACUAGUUAUUUUCCCAAAAACCCAAAAUUAAAUGGUUUUCCUGAAAUCUAAUCCAUAAUAAAACAAAUAAUAAAAUUGGUAAUAAUUCACUAAAUAACCCUCAAUUAUUCAUCAAACCAAUCCGCAAAAGCUAAUAUUACAGCUAGGGACUAAUAUGAAAUUUAUCAUAUUUUUAAGGGUCAAAUUGUAACUUUUAUCAAAUUGAAGGACCAAACUAAAAAUAUCAUAAAUCCAUGACUAUACUGAAAUUCUGACCAUAAUUAAUCCUCAAUUCUGUCCAGAAUAUCUCAUUAUGCUCCAGGGACCAUUCUGGAAUUUUUCCAAAUUUUUAGGGUCAAUUUGUAAUUUUUGUCAAAUUGGAGGAUCAAAUUAAAAGUGUUAAAAUUUUAUAACUAUACAGGAAUUCUGUCCAUAAUUCAUCUUUUAUUCUGUCCAGAAUCUCGGAAUAUGCUCCAGGGACCAAUCUGUAAUUUUCCAAAGUUUGGGGACUAAAUUGUAAUUUUCACAAAUUGAGGGACCAAACCGAAAUUUUAUCAUCUUCAACCUCAAACCCAGAAUUUCAACAGAAAACCUACUGUUCUUUCCAGAUUUCUAACCCAAAAUUCACCAUUUACAUAAAUCAUAACUCAAAAUCAUCAUCUUUACCUACAAUCUUCCAUAAUCAACUAAAUAAUCAAUUACCCACAACAAUAAACCCCAUAACAUUCAAAUUAAUUCAUCAAUUAAACCCAAAACACAAAUUUUCAAAACCCUAACAUCCAUCAAAAUCAAAAUUUAAAGUUCAAAGAACACAUUUAUACAUUUAUAAACCUAAAUCUUACACUUAAACUUAUUUUCUUCAAUUCCAUUCUAUUUCCCUUCUAAUUUCCCUCUUUUCUCUUCUUCUUCUUCUUUCCCCUUUCUCUCCUGCCGGUUUGCUCUCUUAAAAUUUCAGAUCCCUCUUUCUUUUUUUUUUCUUUUUACUUCCUAUUUAUAUUUAUCAUUUUUUUAUUCAAUUAUUACUAUACCCCUCCAUUUAAUAAUACUUACUCUUGAAGCCACCAAGGGUUUUGUAGCCUUUUUCUAUUCAUUUACUUUCAAAACAUUACAGAGAAAUCUGAGGUCAAAGUUGAGAAAAAAUUAGCCUCUCUCCCUAGCUUUAUUCGCUGGUGUUGCCCCUCUUCUUUGCGCCACCGUAACUGCCAGUUUCUCUGCCAGUUAGUGCUCACCACCACUACCGUGUACAGCCUGCAUAUAGCCCUUGCGCCAGAUAAUCUUCUUCCUUCAAUAAUCUAAACCCAUCCCUUUCUUUUUACUCUGAAUAAGGCAUAUAUGACGUGAAUUGACUUACGUCUUGCUGCCUCUCAUCUCUUUCAAUUAAAAAAGAGAUAGGCUGAACCUGUUUCGGCACAACCUAAAAAAAAGAAGAGAAGGUUGUUGGACCGCCAGUCAGCCCAUCCUCUUGCCGACUGUUUUUGCUUUGAUGUUAAAAUCUCUGCUGUUAAUUUCAGAUUAAUAUAUCUAAAAAAUUCAAGAAUAAUAUUCGUUGCACUUGCUUGCUCAUAAUUUUCCAAAAUCUAAAACACAUUAUAGUUUCCAAGUUUAACUUCCACUAUAGUUAAAUCUUGCAUUGCCACUACGUAUACAGAAAUUAGUUGUGAUUGUCAAUGAAUCAUGUCAGUUCUUCGGUCCAAGUUGUAACUACAGGGUGCGCAUUUAAACUACAGGGUGCGCAUUUAACUCCAUUUGGAGAAGCAUUGUAUCCAUGGGCAAAUCUUUGUUUUAGAUCAAUAAGAGGUAGCCUGAUAAUUAAGUUUUCUGAAAAUGUGUAUUUCUAGGAAUCGCUACGAUGGGAAAAAAGCUGCUGAAGCAGGUAUGGUUCAUGCAACUUAUCCCAUGGGACCACCGACCACAGCUCCUAUAAGAAGGGAUGGAAAAGGGUUAUUCAUCCACUACAUGUUGUCUUCCUGCCUUUCAUUCGUAUCUCCUCUUCUCUUUCCCUUUUCUUCUGCUGUCACUUUUAUCCUCCUUUUAAUUUUGUAUGAAGCCAUGGAAUACAAGAGAAGGAAGUAGAGAAGAGAGGGCAUGUACAAGACAACAGUGAGAGAUCUUGAAGACGGAGGAGUUGGAUUUGUUAGGAUGUGAAAUGUUUAUUCAUUGCAUGCUUGGACCGGAAAUGGCUUCAACAUUUUGAACAAUGUGCUUCCCAACAUUGAACAGCUUUUCGGACACAAUAUCUGAAAUUUUAAAGAACAUGCAAUGUAUUUCUUUUGGUGAACAAGAAGAGCAUUCGUCUACUAUUCUUGCGUUUGAACGUGACAUUUGAAGUAGCGUAUUUGUAUUGACCAAAAAAUUAGCAUGAUUUUUAUAUUGUUUGUAAGUCUUAAAUUCUAGAUGGCACUGAUCAAAGGCAAUCAGAAAAGACACAGCUGUUUUGCCAAAUAAAAUGUCUUUUACUCGCCCUUUGAAGAAAGCAGAAAAAAAAGUCUUGACAGAGAA
This is a long non-coding RNA of Populus trichocarpa (black cottonwood), 4011 nucleotides long. RefSeq lists it as uncharacterized. The transcript is spliced from 2 exons. The record is from RefSeq and is a predicted model, not a curated record. Lineage: Eukaryota; Viridiplantae; Streptophyta; Magnoliopsida; Malpighiales; Salicaceae.